Molecule: ribosomal RNA, 496 nt
Filed under: uncultured bacterium
Lineage: Bacteria
Description: partial 16S ribosomal RNA
Rfam family: Bacterial small subunit ribosomal RNA
Source: RNAcentral
GAUGAACGCUGGCGGCGUGCCUAAUACAUGCAAGUCGAGCGAACAGAUGAGGAGCUUGCUCCUCUGACGUUAGCGGCGGACGGGUGAGUAACACGUGGAUAACCUACCUAUAAGACUGGGAUAACUUCGGGAAACCGGAGCUAAUACCGGAUAAUAUAUUGAACCGCAUGGUUCAAUAGUGAAAGACGGUUUUGCUGUCACUUAUAGAUGGAUCCGCGCCGCAUUAGCUAGUUGGUAAGGUAACGGCUUACCAAGGCAACGAUGCGUAGCCGACCUGAGAGGGUGAUCGGCCACACUGGAACUGAGACACGGUCCAAACUCCUACGGGAGGCAGCAGUAGGAAAUCUUCCGAAAUGGGCGAAAGCCUGACGGAGAAACGCCGCGUGGGUGAUGAAGGUCUUCGGAUCGUAAAACUCUGUUAUUGGGAAAGAACAAAUGUGUAAGUAACUAGGAACGUCUGGACGGUACCUAAUCAGAAAGCCACGGCUAACUACGU